Molecule: long non-coding RNA, 269 nt
Organism: Panthera uncia (snow leopard)
Lineage: Eukaryota; Metazoa; Chordata; Mammalia; Carnivora; Felidae
Exons: 3
Source: RefSeq, a predicted model, not a curated record
AGGACUCUCUCACCCUUCGCUUACCCUGCUCCAAGCCUGCUGACCUCCUUGCAGUCCCUCCAGUGUACCAGAUACAAGGCAUCCAGUGGAGAAAUCCAAGCCUCCCAGGAAUGGUGAAUCUGCAAGGAUCAAGACUAAUCCAGAACAUCUCACAUUCAGACAUGCUAAAAAAAACCCCACAGUUUGAAAAGAGAGAGCAAGAGAGUGAGCAGGGGAGGCCGGCAAAGGGAGAGAGAGAAUCCCAAGCAGGAGUCCAACACAGGGCUCCA